GAUCAUGGCUCAGGAUGAACGCUAGCUACAGGCUUAACACAUGCAAGUCGAGGGGCAGCAUGGACCCAGCUUUGCUGGGUUUGAUGGCGACCGGCGCACGGGUGAGUAACGCGUAUCCAACCUGCCCUUUACUCCGGGAUAGUCUCCUGAAAGGGAGUUUAAUACCGGAUGUGUUUGUCUUUCCGCAUGGGAGGCGACAAAUAAAGAAUUAAUUUAGGUAAAGGAAGUGGGGAGUGCGUCCCACUUAGCUUGUUGGG
This 257-nucleotide ribosomal RNA is filed under the name uncultured bacterium. RNAcentral describes it as "partial 16S ribosomal RNA". It matches the Rfam family "Bacterial small subunit ribosomal RNA", at positions 15 to 253 of the family's 1533-position model. The record is from RNAcentral.